Pan paniscus (pygmy chimpanzee) is the source of this 107-nucleotide small nuclear RNA. Lineage: Eukaryota; Metazoa; Chordata; Mammalia; Primates; Hominidae. The record is from Ensembl.
GUGCUCACUUCAGCAUCACAUAUACUAAAAUUGAAAUGAUGCAGAGAAGAUUAGCAUGGCCCCUAUGCAAGGAUGACACACAAAUUCGUGAAGCAUUCCAUACUUUA